CAUGGCCUACGGGAGGCAGCAGUGGGGGAUAUUGGACAAUGGGGGAAACCCUGAUCCAGCGAUGCCGCGUGAGGGAAGAAGGUUUUCGGAUUGUAAACCUCUGUGGAGGGGGACGAUAAUGACGGUACCCCUUUAGGAAGCCACGGCUAACUACGUGCCAGCAGCCGCGGUAAUACGUAGGGGGCAAGCGUUAUCCGGAAUCACUGGGUGUAAAGGGAGCGUAGACGGCUGAGCAAGCCUGAAGUGAAAGGCGGGGGCCCAACCCCCGGCCUGCUUUGGGACCUGUACGGCUGGAGUGC
Molecule: ribosomal RNA, 299 nt
Filed under: uncultured bacterium
Lineage: Bacteria
Description: partial 16S ribosomal RNA
Rfam family: Bacterial small subunit ribosomal RNA
Source: RNAcentral